Equus caballus (horse) is the source of this 1692-nucleotide long non-coding RNA. NCBI's taxonomy places the organism in Eukaryota, Metazoa, Chordata, Mammalia, Perissodactyla, Equidae. The record is from Ensembl.
GUUUAUUAGGGAGCGCCCCCAUGGGCAACACCUGUAGGUUGUGAAGGCACUAUGAUUGGGCAGAAGGAGGAGUUGGACUACGAGGCAUUUGCAACAAAAGCCUCAGUUGACCCCACUGGGAACUCUGGAGCAGGACAAAUCUUCGCAACUCCGUCUCUUGAGGUUUUUGGCUGCUUGCCUUCAAACUGCAAACUGGAAUACUUCAUCCUUUAAAAGCUUAAUAACCCGAAAACCCACCAGGAACCUAGAAUACCCGUAGUUCUCAGCCUAAAAGCUUGAGGAUGGAUAGAACAGAAAUCUAAUGUGCUUGACCUUCUCACCUCCUGCUUCUGGUCCGUGCCUCCCAUUACACCCACUCAAAGCCUCAGUGAGGCCCAAACCAUGGAAGACUUCUGCUGACAGAUGUCUCCAGAAUAGCUACUGUUCAUCUCACAGGCAAUUGAGCCCUCUAGGUCAGAGGUCCUCAAAGUGUGACUACAGUCCCCAUAAUGAGACUACCAGCAUCAGUAUCACCACCACCUGGGAACUUAUUAGAACUGAAAUUCUUGGGUCCCACUCCAGACCUCCUUAAUCAGAAACUCGGGGGGUAGAAUCCAGCAAUCUGUGUUUGAACAAGCCCUCCAGGUGAUCUGGAUGCUUGCUAAAGUUUGAGAACCACUGGUCUGGGUAAUUGAACCAACGGCAUUUGGCUGUAAUCCAUGGAGAAAUUUAUAGCACUAGGGCAAUCACUAACCUCAGUCUUGGGAAUUACGGGAGUUGGUAAACUCAUUUCAAAGGAACAAUAUUCACCUUUGAAGGUACUUGGAUGGCUGGCUGUGUGCAUUUGGAAAUAUACAGUGUUCUCCUCCCAUGGGGCUCAAGGAAGCUAAAGAAAAUCAGAGGAUUCUAAAUGCCAUUGUCCUCAUCCUAUCGCCUCCCUGCUUGCUCAGCUCCAACCCCACCUGUCUUUCUCACGUUGAACUAGCUUUAAGGAGAAGAGACACAAUUGCCAGCAGGUGAAAGGGAACAGAAAUCAUAACACACAGUGAAAUAGAGGAUCCCACUUGUCAGAAGCAGAUAAAGCCCACGCUCUGCUCUUCUUUGCCUGCUUUGUGCCCUGGGACACUGACCUCUAUAGACUGUGUCACUUGGGCUUCCUUGCCCCUGGCUUUCAGCUGAGUUUGACCAAUGGAAGUCGUUGUCAGAAAUUAGAAGACAGGAGGAGAUUGGGAUGUUUAUUUCCUCUAUUCCUUUACCGAUUGUCUGUAGUUGUAGGUGGAUGCACUCAAUUUUUAUAGGUCUUGUGUCAUCCCCCUCUGUGAGUGCUCUUUCAUGGCUCAACAUUUUCUAAAGAAGACUUCUGUGUAUAGCUCCCUCCUUUCCCUCCAAGGCCUCAGGAUGGUAAUGAGUUGUUCCAUUGCUGGCCUCUGGGUGCAUCAUCAUUUUUUGCGACUUAAUUAACCAUACCCAAAACUCUGUGAAAGUUAUCUUAACAUUAGAACCAUUUAGAACCAGUAUAUCAUUAAGGAUCCCAGAAGGAAACAGAUAGAAAAGUCAAAAGUUUAUCUAAACAGCUCCAAGAAAACAUAAAAGCCUCUUGAUUUGUUUAUUUUUAAGAUAUAGCAUGCAGUUUCUCAGGAAAGGAAGAUUACGCAGGUUCUCACUAAAAUACUUCCCUUCUGCAUGUAUAGAACACAAAUUUAUAAUUUAUAA